AACCAUAGAAACCUGCGGAGUACCUGCGGAAGGAUCAUUAAAAAGAGUGUGUACCCCCCUGUAAAAUGGGUGGGUUACCUCCCGUCCUUUGUUGACCUCUUAGGAGGUUAUUUUGAACUUUUCUGCUUCGGUGGGGUUAAACCUACCGGAACACCCUCAAAUUCUGAUCAUUUAAAAAUUGUUCAGUCCGAUUUUUGUUAAUAAAAACAAAAAACUUUUAGCAAUGGAUCUCAGAUCGGA
RNAcentral lists this unclassified non-coding RNA (240 nucleotides) under soil metagenome. RNAcentral's name for it is "partial contains 5.8S ribosomal RNA, internal transcribed spacer 2, and large subunit ribosomal RNA". The record is from RNAcentral.